RNAcentral lists this ribosomal RNA (422 nucleotides) under uncultured bacterium. RNAcentral describes it as "bacterial SSU rRNA". It matches the Rfam family "Bacterial small subunit ribosomal RNA", at positions 355 to 774 of the family's 1533-position model. The record is from RNAcentral.
UGAGGAAUAUUGGACAAUGGGUGGAAGCCUGAUCCAGCCAUCCCGCGUGAAGGAUGACGGUCCUAUGGAUUGUAAACUUCUUUUGUACAGGGAUAAACCUGCCCUCGUGAGGGCAGCUGAAGGUACUGUACGAAUAAGCACCGGCUAACUCCGUGCCAGCAGCCGCGGUAAUACGGAGGGUGCGAGCGUUAUCCGGAUUUAUUGGGUUUAAAGGGUCCGUAGGCGGGCCUGUAAGUCAGUGGUGAAAUCUCAUAGCUUAACUAUGAAACUGCCACUGAUACUGCAGGCCUUGAGUAAAUUUGAAGUGGCUGGAAUAAGUAGUGUAGCGGUGAAAUGCAUAGAUAUUACUUAGAACACCGAUUGCGAAGGCAGGUCACUAAGAUUUAACUGACGCUGAUGGACGAAAGCGUGGGGAGCGAACA